This 497-nucleotide ribosomal RNA is filed under the name uncultured bacterium. Its description in RNAcentral is "partial 16S ribosomal RNA". It matches the Rfam family "Bacterial small subunit ribosomal RNA", at positions 28 to 507 of the family's 1533-position model. The record is from RNAcentral.
GAUGAACGCUGGCGGCGUGCCUAAUACAUGCAAGUCGAGCGAACAGAUAAGGAGCUUGCUCCUUUGACGUUAGCGGCGGACGGGUGAGUAACACGUGGGUAACCUACCUAUAAGACUGGAAUAACUCCGGGAAACCGGGGCUAAUGCCGGAUAACAUUUAGAACCGCAUGGUUCUAAAGUGAAAGAUGGUUUUGCUAUCACUUAUAGAUGGACCCGCGCCGUAUUAGCUAGUUGGUAAGGUAACGGCUUACCAAGGCAACGAUACGUAGCCGACCUGAGAGGGUGAUCGGCCACACUGGAACUGAGAAACGGUCCAGACUCCUACGGGAGGCAGCAGUAGGGAAUCUUCCGCAAUGGGCGAAAGCCUGACGGAGCAACGCCGCGUGAGUGAUGAAGGUCUUCGGAUCGUAAAACUCUGUUAUUAGGGAAGAACAAAUGUGUAAGUAACUGUGCACGUCUUGACGGUACCUAAUCAGAAAGCCACGGCUAACUACGUG